This 248-nucleotide ribosomal RNA is filed under the name uncultured Actinomycetales bacterium. Its description in RNAcentral is "partial 16S ribosomal RNA". It matches the Rfam family "Bacterial small subunit ribosomal RNA", at positions 82 to 334 of the family's 1533-position model. The record is from RNAcentral. Lineage: Bacteria; Bacillati; Actinomycetota; Actinomycetes; Actinomycetales.
CUUGGGUACUCGAGUGGCGAACGGGUGAGUAACACGUGGGUGAUCUGCCCUGCACUUCGGGAUAAGCCUGGGAAACUGGGUCUAAUACCGGAUAGGACCACAUUUUGGAUGGUGUGGUGGAAAGUUUUUCGGUGUGGGAUGAGCUCGCGGCCUAUCAGCUUGUUGGUAGGGUAAUGGCCUACCAAGGCGUCGACGGGUAGCCGGCCUGAGAGGGUGUACGGCCACAUUGGGACUGAGAUACGGCCCAG